Molecule: ribosomal RNA, 409 nt
Filed under: Clostridioides difficile
Lineage: Bacteria; Bacillati; Bacillota; Clostridia; Peptostreptococcales; Peptostreptococcaceae
Description: partial 23S ribosomal RNA
Rfam family: Bacterial large subunit ribosomal RNA
Source: RNAcentral
GGGAUGACACAGUAGGAUAAGCUAAGCACACUGUUGGUUAUGUGUGCCCAAGCAUUGAGGCAGUCAAAGUAGGCAAAUCCGCUUUGAUAAUGCUGGGAUGGGAUGGGGAGCGAAAUUUAGUAGCGAAGUAGCUGAUUUCACACUGUCAAGAAAAGUCUCUAUCGAGGUUAAAGGUACCCGUACCGCAAACCGACACAGGUGGGUGAGGAGAGUAUCCUAAGGCCAGCGAGAGAACUGUUGUUAAGGAACUCGGCAAAAUGACCCCGUAACUUAGGGAUAAGGGGUGCCACCAUCAGGUGGCCGCAGAGAAUAGGCCCAAGCGACUGUUUACCAAAAACAUAGGUUUCUGCUAAGUCGCAAGACGAUGUAUAGGAGCUGACGCCUGCCCGGUGCUGGAAGGUUAAGGGGA